RNAcentral lists this transfer RNA (72 nucleotides) under Camelus bactrianus (Bactrian camel). It matches the Rfam family "tRNA". From Rfam's summary of the family: Transfer RNA (tRNA) molecules are approximately 80 nucleotides in length. Their secondary structure includes four short double-helical elements and three loops (D, anti-codon, and T loops). Further hydrogen bonds mediate the characteristic L-shaped molecular structure. tRNAs have two regions of fundamental functional importance: the anti-codon, which is responsible for specific mRNA codon recognition, and the 3' end, to which the tRNAs corresponding amino acid is attached (by aminoacyl-tRNA synthetases). tRNAs cope with the degeneracy of the genetic code in two manners: having more than one tRNA (with a specific anti-codon) for a particular amino acid; and 'wobble' base-pairing, i.e. permitting non-standard base-pairing at the 3rd anti-codon position. RNAcentral also lists the same sequence under 2 other names. The record is from Rfam by way of RNAcentral. Lineage: Eukaryota; Metazoa; Chordata; Mammalia; Artiodactyla; Camelidae.
GAAGGUAUAACUCAAUGGUAGAGUGUGUGCUUAGCAUGCAUGAGGUCCUGGGUUCAAUCCUCAGUACCUCCA